ACGCACGCUGGCGGCGUGCUUAACCCCUGCACGUCGAACGGAAAGGCCCCUUUGGGGGUACUCGAGUGGCGAACGGGUGAGUAACACGUGAGUAACCUGCCCUUGACUUCGGGAUAACUUCAGGAAACUGGGGCUAAUACCGGAUAGGAAUCCUUGCUGCAUGGUGGGGGUUGGAAAGCUUCGGCGGUUUUGGAUGGACUCGCGGCUUAUCAGCUUGUUGGUGGGGUAGUGGCUUACCAAGGCUUUGACGGGUAGCCGGCCUGAGAGGGCGACCGGCCACAUUGGGACUGAGAUACGGCCCAGACUCCUACGGGAGGCAGCAGUGGGGAAUAUUGCACAAUGGGCGGAAGCCUGAUGCAGCAACGCCGCGUGCGGGAUGACGGCCUUCGGGUUGUAAACCGCUUUCAGCAGGGGCGAAGCUUGUGGUGACGGUACCUGCAGAAGAAGCACCGGCUAACUACGUG
RNAcentral lists this ribosomal RNA (464 nucleotides) under uncultured bacterium. RNAcentral's name for it is "partial 16S ribosomal RNA". It matches the Rfam family "Bacterial small subunit ribosomal RNA", at positions 29 to 507 of the family's 1533-position model. The record is from RNAcentral.